RNAcentral lists this ribosomal RNA (253 nucleotides) under uncultured bacterium. RNAcentral's name for it is "partial 16S ribosomal RNA". It matches the Rfam family "Bacterial small subunit ribosomal RNA", at positions 524 to 776 of the family's 1533-position model. The record is from RNAcentral.
UACGUAGGGGGCAAGCGUUGUCCGGAUUUAUUGGGCGUAAAGAGUGUGUAGGCGGCCAGACAGGUCCGUUGUGAAAACUGGAGGCUCAACCUCCAGACGUCGAUGGAAACCGUCUGGCUAGAGUCCGGAAGAGGAGAGUGGAAUUCCUGGUGUAGCGGUGAAAUGCGCAGAUAUCAGGAAGAACACCCGUGGCGAAAGCGGCUCUCUGGGACGGUACUGACGCUGAGACGCGAAAGCGUGGGGAGCGAACAGG